This 253-nucleotide ribosomal RNA is filed under the name uncultured bacterium. RNAcentral's name for it is "partial 16S ribosomal RNA". It matches the Rfam family "Bacterial small subunit ribosomal RNA", at positions 524 to 776 of the family's 1533-position model. The record is from RNAcentral.
UACGGAGGGUGCAAGCGUUAUCCGGAUUCACUGGGUUUAAGGGGUGCGUAGGUGGAGUGGUAAGUCAGUGGUGAAAUCUCCAAGCUUAACUUGGAAACUGCCGUUGAUACUAUCAUUCUUGAAUAUCGUGGAGGUAAGCGGAAUAUGUCAUGUAGCGGUGAAAUGCUUAGAUAUGACAUAGAACACCGAUUGCGAAGGCAGCUUGCUACACGAUCAUUGACACUGAGGCACGAAAGCGUGGGGAUCAAACAGG